UAAGCAUCAGGUAACAUCAAAUCGUACCCCAAACCGACACAGGUGGUCAGGUAGAGAAUACCAAGGCGCUUGAGAGAACUCGGGUGAAGGAACUAGGCAAAAUGGUGCCGUAACUUCGGGAGAAGGCACGCUGACACGUAGGUGAAGUGAUUUACUCAUGGAGCUGAAGUCAGUCGAAGAUACCAGCUGGCUGCAACUGUUUAUUAAAAACACAGCACUGUGCAAACACGAAAGUGGACGUAUACGGUGUGACGCCUGCCCGGUGCCGGAAGGUUAAUUGAUGGGGUCAGCGCAAGCGAAGCUCCUGAUCGAAGCCCCGGUAAACGGCGGCCGUAACUAUAACGGUCCUAAGGUAGCGAAAUUCCUUGUCGGGUAAGUUCCGACCUGCACGAAUGGCGUAAUGAUGGCCAGGCUGUCUCCACCCGAGACUCAGUGAAAUUGAACUCGCUGUGAAGAUGCAGUGUACCCGCGGCAAGACGGAAAGACCCCGUGAACCUUUACUAUAGCUUGACACUGAACAUUGAGCCUUGAUGUGUAGGAUAGGUGGGAGGCUUUGAAGUGUGGACGCCAGUCUGCAUGGAGCCGGCCUUGAAAUACCACCCUUUAAUGUUUGAUGUUCUAACGUGGACCCGUGAUCCGGGUUGCGGACAGUGUCUGGUGGGUAGUUUGACUGGGGCGGUCUCCUCCUAAAGAGUAACGGAGGAGCACGAAGGUUGGCUAAUCCUGGUCGGACAUCAGGAGGUUAGUGCAAUGGCAUAAGCCAGCUUGACUGCGAGCGUGACGGCGCGAGCAGGUGCGAAAGCAGGUCAUAGUGAUCCGGUGGUUCUGAAUGGAAGGGCCAUCGCUCAACGGAUAAAAGGUACUCCGGGGAUAACAGGCUGAUACCGCCCAAGAGUUCAUAUCGACGGCGGUGUUUGGCACCUCGAUGUCGGCUCAUCACAUCCUGGGGCUGAAGUAGGUCCCAAGGGUAUGGCUGUUCGCCAUUUAAAGUGGUACGCGAGCUGGGUUUAGAACGUCGUGAGACAGUUCGGUCCCUAUCUGCCGUGGGCGCUGGAGAACUGAGGGGGGCUGCUCCUAGUACGAGAGGACCGGAGUGGACGCAUCACUGGUGUUCGGGUUGUCAUGCCAAUGGCACUGCCCGGUAGCUAAAUGCGGAAGAGAUAAGUGCUGAAAGCAUCUAAGCACGAAACUUGCCCCGAGAUGAGUUCUCCCUGAGACUUAGAGUCUCCUGAAGGAACGUUGAAGACGACGACGUUGAUAGGCCGGGUGUGUAAGCGCAGCGAUGCGUUGAGCUAACCGGUACUAAUGAACCGUGAGGCUUAACCUUACA
RNAcentral lists this ribosomal RNA (1330 nucleotides) under Salmonella enterica. Its description in RNAcentral is "partial 23S ribosomal RNA". It matches the Rfam family "Bacterial large subunit ribosomal RNA", at positions 1622 to 2925 of the family's 2925-position model. The record is from RNAcentral. Lineage: Bacteria; Pseudomonadati; Pseudomonadota; Gammaproteobacteria; Enterobacterales; Enterobacteriaceae.